UGUAAUCGCGCCACCGUCAAAUCUGACAUGGGAUGCUCUCCAGCCGAGCUGGUUUUCGGCACUACCUCUCCCAGGUCAGUGUGUCGCUUUAUCCCCCGACACCUGUCUCUUUUAUCUUAGGUCAUUCGCUGACCGCCUCCAGGAUCACGUCGCAACUUUCACCAGCUUCGACGCGAGUCAUGUCCACUGCUGCCCACUUGCCAAAAGACCUUCACACAUGCACUCAUUGAUGUUCGCUAUGGUGCUGUCCGCAAACCUCUUCAACCACCAUACAACGGACCCUUCCAGUCUCCGUCCUCAGCCGCACCGACAAGUUCUUCACCUUGUCCACCGCCAAAAAGCGCGAACAGGUCAGCCGUGACCACCUCAAGGUGGCGUACCAAGAUGACAAAUCCGACGGGAGCGGCCACCUCCAGUUUCUCCAAUGCCCCGGCAACCCGCAAUCCUCCCUCCACCUGCAAAGAUGGCCACAUCCACACCGUCACCUGCACCACGACCUCGUCCAACACCUUCUGCAGCACCUUCAUCCUGUCGCCAAGACAACCCGCUCUGUUCGUCAUGUUUCCUUUCCAAAACGCUAUGUGGGGUUCAUAGUUCAUCGACCAUUGCUGGUUCAUCCUUUUUUAUGUCCUCACCAUCUCGGAGGUGGCUAAUGUAGUGACCCUUGAUCUAUAAAGGUCACACCAACAAACGAACAUUUAUGCAUAUAACUUUCCGUCUUCGUUUUCGCGCGUGUAUUAUCCCUGAAAAUUUCCCACGUCUUCAAACUAAUUUUUGUCAGCUUCGCUCACUACUUAUUUUGUUAACUGUUUGAGGAGAAUACUGUUCUUCACAUCGUCUGUUUUAUCAACCGUGCAGUGAUGGUAAUUAAAUGACUGACUCUAAAAAAAGAAAGACUUUCUGUCGUUUAACGUUCGAGCGCCAGUCCACAUACGGGCCGGGCAACUCGUCCCCCGACAUAACAGUGACUGACAUAGUCGCCCUGUGGAAGGGGGUGUAUAGGUCACCGAUUUGACCGACUACGUCGAGCAAAGCUCCUUUUUUGCCCCGACUGCAGGAAAUAUAUUUGGAUAUGGUCCGGCAAAACAUGGCAAUAAUGUACACACACUGUGUACUCAUCAGUAUGAAGUCGCCAACUUGGUCUGGAAUCAACUCGCUCUGAGUCGACUCUAUCUCAAGUCAACUUGGUCCCAAGUCAACUCGGUUGAUCUCGUCAACUCUGGAAGGCAGGUAUAUGGCUGCAGCAUGAAUACAAAUUUUCCAAGCUAGUUUCAACACACUUUAGUAUAACUGUAUUAAAGUACACAUAUUUCCAGAAUUCUAAAAUUGCAUGUACUGUUCAUGUAAAUUUACUGACAUGUGCAUGAGAUGCCUGGCUUUGUAAAUUGGGAAGGCCAGGCACUUGGAUGCAUCGUUAAUUAUAAGCCAAAUCCCAGUGUUUCUUGCUAGACUAUCAAACUAUGGCAUAUAAGCUUUCCAGAAUUCUAACAUUGUAUGUAGGCUAUAUUUACACAUAUACUGACAUGUGCAUGAGAUGCCCGGCCUUGUAUAAAUUUGCGAAGGCCAGGCACUUGGAUGCAUCAAUUACCACAGAUGAGAAGGCAAAAUCCCAGUCUUUCUUUAAAUACCAGACUGACAAACUUUGGCAUAUGAGUAUUUCCAGAAUUCUAACAGUGCUUGUACUCUAUACUGACAUGUACAGCUAAUUAUGCAAUGCCCUUGGCUGGUUCCCUGUCUGCUCACGGUCUGCUUGUGGCAAAUCAUUGGUAUUGCAGCUCGCACUCUGUGAUGUGACGCGAAAGUGACAAAACAACCAUCAGUUUUGUGCAAGUGCAAAAUCAAGCAGAUUUUUAGUUAUGCCCCUGGAUAUCUGGGAUAAAAUUUAUCAAAAUUCCCUGGGAAUAGGGAUAGGGCCCAGUAUAUGACGGAAGAGUAUAUGUCGGGCCCCGUUUACGGGUCUGCCUUUCAAUAGGCCUCCAUCCAUGAUCAUGUAGGCCUACGUAGGCCUGCAUCAUACAUUACAAAAAUGUUGAGUUCACACACUUGCUACUUGUCACUGUGCACUGUACUGAGUUCCAAAGCCUUUGCAAUUUCAUCGAUCAUGUAAUGUAGGUCUAUUGACCUGAUUUCCAUUGGUAGUUUUUUGAAGUGCAAAAUUAACGCUUUGAAAAUUGUACCCACAGUGAAGAAGGUAACUACUAACGUUAUGCCUACUUUUUUGAAAAUAAGUUUGUACACGUAUGUAUAUUUCGGGGUGAUACUAGAAUUUAUCAACUUUGAAGAACUUCUUAUGUGGGAUUUUCAGAGAUUUGUUUAAGUGUGCCACAAACAGGGAACAGUCAGCUGAACUUUGUGCCAAUUUCUGGAUGCUGGUGUUUUUGAAUUUUGGGUCAAAUUUCAUGACAUCAAAAUUGUUCACAAGGAUGAUUAGUAGCAUGCAUUUUAAGGUUAUAAUGUCAUUAUUUACUGUAACUGAAUGAAUUCAAAGUUUUUCAGCAAAGAGGUUUGGCAGUAAUGCAUGAGAAGAGUCAAGGAAACUCCUAAACUAGAAACAAGACAAGUUGAGGAAGGCUUAAACAUUGGGAUAAAGCUCCCUGGCCAUGAACGGUAUCAGCCACAUACAGGUAUUUUUCAGUUGCCUUUUUGAUUAAUUCACCCAGCAGUUUAUCAUGUUCAAUUUGCCCAAAUGGUGAUUUCCUAACCAUCAUGCCUGUUGGUAAAUUACUUGUCAUCUUGAUACCUUAAUUUUGUUACAACUGUGAUUUGCUCAAGAUCUUUACUGGCAGUGAACAUGCAUGUACAACUCCAGACACCAGCAGUUUUGGUGAUCCCUGAAAACGUUAAUUACUGCACACCACACUAGAUGCGUUUAACUAGCAUCUAUCAUGUGCUUAAAUGAAUCUAUUUUUAAAAUAAGAGUAGCUCGCCUUAGCUGCACCCUAUAUGCCUGCAUUGCAUUGGCACACUUUGAUGCUGGACCCCACACCUGCAUACACACCUGGCAGCUGGCACUCAGGUAAGAGAUGACUGGACGAUGGAGACCUGCAAGUCCGGAUAUGACAUCAUGACAUCAUGCUCAGCACACAUACAUGUAAUUGACACCUGCUAACCCUUCUGAUUUGAUUGCAACUAGGCAGGUGUGGUGGAUUCACCCUCCACCCAUGAAAGGGAAAAAAAGAGGGGAAGACAUUUUUUGAAGGGGGGAGGGGGCUGUAUGGGGUGGAAAGCGAUGGAAGGUGUUAUGUCAUUGUUUAUGUGGGAGGGGGGGAGAUAACCUUCCCCUCCCUUAUAGGGGCAAGACGAUCAGGCAUAAAUUGAAAGCUGCUUCAGCUGAAAAUCUUUCCUUAUUUAAAGUAAAGUUGAAUUUGCCACUUGGUGCAGCCAUAAAAAAAUAUACGGUUCUGUGUUAAUUUCUAUUGUCUUCGAGAACUGAAUUAAAAACUAAAGAGACUGCACAGUGCUGGAUGUUAUACACUUUGUACACAUGAUGACAAAUAUUUUCUGGCCGAGAACAUAACCGACGGUAAAGCUGUCUUGGGGUAUAAUUUCCCCCUAAAUUUACUGAUGAAGGCCACAAUUUGGAUUCUCUGAACAUUUUUUGGGCAGCUCCACGAAAAUGAAUAUUUGUCUUGUAAAAAAGAAGAAGUUUUAUUAGAAAUGGGUGAAUUAGUUGAAUCAUUUUAUGAUUAUAUUUAUUUCACAGAUCGAGCCCGUUAUUGCUAUAAUAUCUGCUCUUGGGACAUGAUGAAGGUCCAAGCAAGGCAGUCAGAUUGUGGAAUCAAAGAGGGCCAGCAGUAUACAGGAAAGUCGCGUUAACAGAGAUGGUAGCGAGAGUGGAAGAAACGUGUGCUGUCCAUCCAGCAGAAGUCUGUCUUCUGCAGUGACUGUAAGUUGUCUUUUCAAGUAUUGAGAAACUGUUGAGGCCAUGUCACAGAGAGGUGCACAAAGUAACGUCAAGGUAAUAUUGAAGAUUUUAAAUAAAGACACUCAAGCCGAUAGGAGUCAUAAGAUAUUACCUGAACUGAAUCACUUUCAGGUGUGACAACUUAACAAUCACCAUUGUGCCGUUAAUUGUGUGUUCAUUUGACCCUAAAAGAACCAGGGGGUUGAUAGAAUCUGCCCCCUCAAGAGUUUUUCUGAUAUCGCCACAGUACAGUAAUCAAGCCUUCAGGAGUUUUUCAGUAACUCCGAGCCAAUUUGGCUCAUCAGGCUGGUGUUUAUUGCGGUU
RNAcentral lists this long non-coding RNA (4228 nucleotides) under Acanthaster planci (crown-of-thorns starfish). RNAcentral describes it as "uncharacterized LOC110977123, transcript variant X2". Lineage: Eukaryota; Metazoa; Echinodermata; Asteroidea; Valvatida; Acanthasteridae. The record is from RNAcentral.